Molecule: ribosomal RNA, 508 nt
Filed under: uncultured bacterium
Lineage: Bacteria
Description: bacterial SSU rRNA
Rfam family: Bacterial small subunit ribosomal RNA
Source: RNAcentral
AGAGUUGAUCAUGGCUCAGGACGAACGCUGGCGGCGUGCCUAACACAUGCAAGUCGAACGGAUUGCUUAGAGCGGAAGGCUCGGCCGGAAGCUUAGGCAGUUAGUGGCGAACGGGUGAGUAACACGUGAGCAACCUGCCUUUAAGAGGGGGAUAACAUUCCGAAAGGGAUGCUAAUACCGCAUGACAUAGCGGGGUCGCAUGGCCCUGCUAUCAAAGAUUUAUCGCUUAAAGAUGGGCUCGCGGCCGAUUAGGUAGUUGGUGAGGUAAUGGCCCACCAAGCCGACGAUCGGUAGCCGGACUGAGAGGUUGAACGGCCACAUUGGGACUGAGACACGGCCCAGACUCCUACGGGAGGCAGCAGUGGGGAAUAUUGCACAAUGGGCGAAAGCCUGAUGCAGCGACGCCGCGUGAGGGAAGAAGGCCUUCGGGUUGUAAACCUCUGUCUUCGGUGACGAAAAUGACGGUAGCCGAGGAGGAAGCCACGGCUAACUACGUGCCAGCCGCCGC